UACAGAGGUCCCAAGCGUUGUUCGGAUUCAUUGGGCGUAAAGGGUGCGUAGGUGGUGAGGUAAGUCGGAUGUGAAAGCUCGGAGCUCAACUCCGAAAUGGCAUUGGAAACUACCUUGCUCGAGGGUUGGAGGGGGGACUGGAAUACUUGGUGUAGCAGUGAAAUGCGUAGAUAUCAAGUGGAACACCAGUGGCGAAGGCGAGUCCCUGGACAACUCCUGACACUGAGGCACGAAAGCUAGGGGAGCAAACAGG
RNAcentral lists this ribosomal RNA (253 nucleotides) under uncultured bacterium. Its description in RNAcentral is "partial 16S ribosomal RNA". It matches the Rfam family "Bacterial small subunit ribosomal RNA", at positions 524 to 776 of the family's 1533-position model. The record is from RNAcentral.